GCUGUCGAGCGAAGCGAGGCUGCGAUCUUUUGAUCUUUCGCUUCGAACUCAAUUGGCAGCGGAAAGAUCGCAGCCUCGCUUCGCUCGACAGC
Molecule: unclassified non-coding RNA, 92 nt
Filed under: Pseudomonas thivervalensis
Lineage: Bacteria; Pseudomonadati; Pseudomonadota; Gammaproteobacteria; Pseudomonadales; Pseudomonadaceae
Source: RNAcentral